AUGGGCUCGCGUCUGAUUAGCUAGUUGGUGGGGUAGAAGCCUACCAAGGCGACGAUCAGUAGCCGGACUGAGAGGUUGAACGGCCACAUUGGGACUGAGAUACGGCCCAGACUCCUACGGGAGGCAGCAGUCGGGAAUAUUGCGCAAUGGAGGGAACUCUGACGCAGUGACGCCGCGUAUAGGAAGAAGGUUUUCGGAUUGUAAACUAUUGUCGUUAGGGAAGAAAAAAGACAGUACCUAAGGAGGAAGCCCCGGCUAAUUAUGUGCCAGCAGCCGCGGUAAUACAUAGGGGGCAAGCGUUAUCCGGAAUUAUUGGGCGUAAAGGGUGCGUAGACGGGUGUUUAACUUGGUUGUGAAAUCCCUCGGCUCAACUGAGGAACUGCAACCAAAACUGGAUAUCUUGAGUGUCGGAGAGGAAAGUGGAAUUCCUAGUGUAGCGGUGAAAUGCGUAGAUAUUAGGAGGAACACCAGUGGCGAAGGCGACUUUCUGGACGAUAACUGACGUUGAGGCACGAAAGUGUGGGGAGCAAACAGGAUUAGAUACCCUGGUAGUCCACACUGUAAACGAUGGAUACUAGGUGUAGGGUGUAUUAAACAUUCUGUGCCGCCGCAAACGCAUUAAGUAUCCCCCCUGGGGAGUACGACCGCAAGGUUGAAACUCAAAGGAAUUGACGGGGGCCCGCCCAAGCAGUGGAGUAUGUGGUUUAAUUCGAAGCAACGCGAAGACCCUUACCAGGGCUUGACAUAUACAGGAAUAAGUAAGAGAUUACUUAGCUCUUCGGAGUCUGUAUACAGGUGGUGCAUGGUUGUCGUCAGCUCGUGUCGUGAGAUGUUGGGUUAAGUCCCGCAACGAGCGCAACCCCUGUCCUUAGUUGCCAGCACGUAAAGGUGGGAAUUUUAAGGAGACUGCCGGUGAUAAAUCGGAGGAAGGUGGGGAGGACGUCAAAUCAUCAUGCCCUUUAUGUCCUGGGCUACACACGUACUACAAUGGCCGUGACAGAGAGAAACGAAGUAGUGAUGCAGAGUAAAACUCAAAAAACGGUCUCAGUUCGGAUUGAAGGCUGAAAUUCGCCUUCAUGAAGCUGGAAUUGCUAGUAAUGGCAGGUCAGCAUACUGCCGUGAAUACGUUCCUCGGGCCUUGCAC
RNAcentral lists this ribosomal RNA (1144 nucleotides) under uncultured bacterium. Its description in RNAcentral is "bacterial SSU rRNA". It matches the Rfam family "Bacterial small subunit ribosomal RNA", at positions 225 to 1386 of the family's 1533-position model. The record is from RNAcentral.